Molecule: ribosomal RNA, 429 nt
Filed under: Acidobacteriota bacterium
Lineage: Bacteria; Pseudomonadati; Acidobacteriota
Description: Acidobacteria bacterium partial 16S ribosomal RNA
Rfam family: Bacterial small subunit ribosomal RNA
Source: RNAcentral
UGGGGAAUUUUGGACAAUGGGGGAAACCCUGAUCCAGCCAUCCCGCGUGUGCGAUGAAGGCCUUCGGGUUGUAAAGCACUUUUGGCAGGAAAGAAACGUCAUGGGCUAAUACCCCGUGAAACUGACGGUACCUGCAGAAUAAGCACCGGCUAACUACGUGCCAGCAGCCGCGGUAAUACGUAGGGUGCAAGCGUUAAUCGGAAUUACUGGGCGUAAAGCGUGCGCAGGCGGUUCGGAAAGAAAGAUGUGAAAUCCCAGGGCUCAACUUUGGAACUGCAUUUUUAACUGCCGGGCUAGAGUGUGGCAGAGGGAGGUGGAAUUCCGCGUGUAGCAGUUAAAUGCGUAGAUGUGCGGAGGAACACCGGUGGCGAAGGCAGCCUCAUGGGAUAACACUGACGCUAAUGCACGAAAGCGUGGGGAGCAAACAGG